ACAUCCUCUCCUCUCCUCUCUCAUUCUCCACGCCUCCUCUCUCCCUCUACACACGACCCGCCGUCCCGCGGCAAUGAUGCCUAGAGAGCAGGAGCAGCGGUGCGCAACGAGCCGGGGAGCAGCGCCGGCAAGCUACUCCUCGGCGUCGGCGGCUCUCCUUCCGCGCAGCGACGCCUCUCUGUCCCUCGCCUCCUCUCCCUCGCCAUGGGGCCGCGGGAGGGCUCGAUGUUGACGGGUGGUGGCAAGCGGCGGCGCCCUCCCUUCCGGUGGGAGGGGAGGCGGUGGGCAGGGGCGGCGCCCUCCCCUCUGCCGGAUCCAGUGGGAAGGGAGGCGGCGGCGGUCCGGCGUCCUAGAUCCAUCCUCUUCUACUCCAUCUCCUCCUCUUCCUGCACUCACCCUUCCCGGCAAGGGCGAGGCGACUCGAGGCGGCGGCGAUGGCGACUCGGUCUUGCGGACUCCUCCCGCCACCGGCUACGGCAUCAACCGGCGACGACCGCCAUGGUAGCGAGCUGACGGCGACAACGGGCUGCAGGUCGGAGAUGGGCCGAUCUGGGAGGUGCGAUGGUGACGCCGCCCCCUCCUGUUCUUCCUCCCACACCAGAAGCAGAAGCAGUGAUGAUGGCGAUGAUAAUAAAUUACUCAUGUGAUUUGUUCAUGUUUAUUCAUGUUUUUUUAAUCUUAAGGAUUUGUAUGUGUUGUUCAUAUCUUGAAAUAAGGUUAUGGGGAUUAUUGUUUGUUGUUCAU
RNAcentral lists this long non-coding RNA (744 nucleotides) under Oryza sativa aromatic subgroup. RNAcentral's name for it is "lncRNA OsARC_07g0000730". The record is from RNAcentral. Lineage: Eukaryota; Viridiplantae; Streptophyta; Magnoliopsida; Poales; Poaceae.